Molecule: long non-coding RNA, 119 nt
Organism: Amblyraja radiata (thorny skate)
Lineage: Eukaryota; Metazoa; Chordata; Chondrichthyes; Rajiformes; Rajidae
Exons: 3
Source: RefSeq, a predicted model, not a curated record
CAGCCCUUCUAAGUCCAUGUAUCUCCCAGCCCAGAGAACAUCCCUUUUUCUAUCAUGCCAAAAACCUACAAGAAUCCCAGGUGCUUCAAUGAAAUCAUUUCUCAUUCUUCUAAAUUAAU